CAAGAUGAUGAAAAAAGAAGAACACAAGAUGAUGACCGAAUGGGUGAAGUAUAAUUGUAUUAGGGCUUUCAUUAUUUUGCAUUUUAUAUUCUGUUUCUGUAUUUGCAUUUUAAGAAUCGUGGGUUUUUUUUCUAGGCAGAAUUGUGGGCUUCUAUGUAUAAGUAUAUUUUUCUUUUCUUUUUUUUUGAGGAAUGACCACAAAUAUUUUAGUUGGGUUAAAAAUAACUUCGUAUGCGCAAAUAAAACUACAAAAAUGUUAAGUAAAUACUAAUUAUAGCUUAUUACACUGUAUAUUUUAUUUAAAUUUGACCAUAUUAAUUUUAAUUAUAUUUUUACUAUUUUUACUUUUGAAAAUUAAUUUUAGACUAUUUAAAUAUGAACUUUUAAUAAAAAU
RNAcentral lists this long non-coding RNA (394 nucleotides) under Salvia miltiorrhiza (redroot sage). Its description in RNAcentral is "long non-coding RNA (SMIL_LNC008552)". Lineage: Eukaryota; Viridiplantae; Streptophyta; Magnoliopsida; Lamiales; Lamiaceae. The record is from RNAcentral.